CACUAACUAAGCUCGCAAGCUUUAGAAACGUGUUGGGGAAUCAGAUAUCAAGCUAACCUAAAUAUAGACAUUGCUCAGUAUUUUUUUCAAUGCUGUGCUUCUACUGGAAGAGGUUUAGAGGCAGACCUUGAUUAGGUAAAAUUCAAAUGUUUGAACUUUGAAAUAUGAUGCAGUUCGUAUAUCAACUAAUGUACAAAAAUGCAAAUUUAAAAUAAUUUGGGGCAUUAUACGAGAAAAACUAUUACAGUUGAAAGCGUGUUUUCUAACUGAUAAAGAUAAUUAUAACAGCAAAGUUUUGAUAAUGCUGGUCAAGUUUCGUAUCAUUGUUAUAAGAUUAAGGGCAAAAUUUUAACGUUCACUUUCUGAAAAAUUGGUUAACGGAUUUAUGGAGCCGUCGAAAGCCGUCUCGGGUUGAAACUAUACCGUAGUGGUGCUAAUUCAUGUCUGGGAUAAUAACCGGCCUCUGGAACCUGCUUCUUCUACAACUUCCAACUCGGCUGUGAUCUUCAGUUCCAAACACAGGUUAAUUCGUUCAUCUAUGUGCAAGAGAUUGGAAUAUCUGUUCUAAACGCAAUAGAAUUUUCUUCAUUCGAACAUGCGGUCAUAAUUACAGUAUAGAUAUCUUUAAAAGUUCAUAGAUAUCUGCCAAAGGGUCAGCAAUCUUGGGAGCACAAAGGCAAACGAAAAAUUUUGAGUCUAGUAGAUAAAGGAAAGCGCGAACGAGCUUUAUAAAUCAAUCAAGUAUGCCGAAAGAAAAUUUUUUACUGGUACAAAUGCCAGUAAAAAAUUCUAUCAUGAUCGCCAAAAGAGCAAGUGAAUACGAAAUAUUUCCUGUAAGUGCCUUGGGGUCCGUUCUGGGGCAACGUGCUGAGCUACUGGCAGCGCAGGCCCUAUCUGAACGUUUUCUUCUUCACAUUCGAACAACUCAAAAAGGACUUGCCCGGCACUCUGUUCUGAGUUGCUGAGUUUCUGGGCAUCAAGCGAGGAGGACCAGAGGGCGCCAUAUAUGGGCUUCAGAGCUCACAGAGCACCCCUCCUUCAGUGGCAUGAGCACCAACCCCCGGGGGCCAUACUUUCAAAACUUGCUAAGUGAAUUAUGGGCCCUGCCACCAACAACGAGGUGCUCGCUGCAGCUGCUGUCAACCCAACCACCGAAGGGCAGGUCAAGUUUAUGAGACAA
This is a long non-coding RNA of Hyalella azteca, 1180 nucleotides long. RefSeq lists it as uncharacterized. NCBI's taxonomy places the organism in Eukaryota, Metazoa, Arthropoda, Malacostraca, Amphipoda, Hyalellidae. The transcript has 4 exons. The record is from RefSeq and is a predicted model, not a curated record.